ACUCCUACGGGAGGCAGCAGUGGGGAAUAUUGCACAAUGGGGGAAACCCUGAUGCAGCCAUGCCGCGUGUGUGAAGAAGGCCUUCGGGUUGUAAAGCACUUUCAGUAGGGAGGAAGGUAGUGUAGUUAACACCUGCACUAUUUGACGUUACCUACAGAAGAAGCACCGGCUAACUCCGUGCCAGCAGCCGCGGUAAUACGGAGGGUGCGAGCGUUAAUCGGAAUUACUGGGCGUAAAGCGCAUGCAGGUGGUUUGUUAAGUCAGAUGUGAAAGCCCGGGGCUCAACCUCGGAACUGCAUUUGAAACUGGCAGACUAGAGUACUGUAGAGGGGGGUAGAAUUUCAGGUGUAGCGGUGAAAUGCGUAGAGAUCUGAAGGAAUACCGGUGGCGAAGGCGGCCCCUGGACAGAUACUGACACUCAGAUGCGAAAGCGUGGGGAGCAAACAGGAUUAGAUACCCUGGUAGCACAGAG
This 472-nucleotide ribosomal RNA is filed under the name uncultured bacterium. RNAcentral describes it as "bacterial SSU rRNA". It matches the Rfam family "Bacterial small subunit ribosomal RNA", at positions 335 to 799 of the family's 1533-position model. The record is from RNAcentral.